UGUAGAUUGCCCCUUGAUCCUUCACUUUGAAUUCUCUAGCAGUUGAACAGGCAAUUAAGCACAUAAAAAUAACACCCUUCAACAAAAUUCUUCCCUCCAUAACCUAUACGGAGAAAAAUUCAGGGAGUAAAAUUAGAGCGGAGAAAGAACGAGGAAGAAGGGUCAACAAGGACAAUUAUUUAGACCCAGUAGGCGAUAGGUGCUUUUCGUGCGCUCCUGG
Molecule: unclassified non-coding RNA, 220 nt
Filed under: Hevea brasiliensis (rubber tree)
Lineage: Eukaryota; Viridiplantae; Streptophyta; Magnoliopsida; Malpighiales; Euphorbiaceae
Source: RNAcentral